Molecule: non-coding RNA, 1678 nt
Organism: Macaca mulatta (Rhesus monkey)
Lineage: Eukaryota; Metazoa; Chordata; Mammalia; Primates; Cercopithecidae
Source: RefSeq, a predicted model, not a curated record
GGUCAGAGCACAGCUUGGUUUUGUUGGAGAUAAAUGCUCGGUGCCGCAAAGUGAAACCAGCACUCAAGCGAAAGUUUUCUCAGCCACACAAUUUACUUCUGCAGAAGCGUGCUGCUCGCAUCAAUCACAAUCGCAAGAGCACACGGAACAAAGGAAAGCAGGGGUUUUUAUUCCUAACGCAAUCCCUACCUCUGGCAUGGGCUGGGGCCAGACCUCAAGAUCUAAACCGAUCCGGUGGGCUAUUUGUGAAUAUUUUCCCAAAUAAGGAAGGGGGAAAGGGGAUGUGAGUUGCAACGGUGGGACGUGUUGUUUCGAAGGGAGAAAUGGGUGCAGAGCAGGUAACCAAGGGAACAGAUGUGAGUUAUUGAUUAGAACUGAUGGGAAGGUUGUUUACAGUAACUAAGGGCAAGGAGACAUGGAGAACAAGAAAGUUGAGUUCCAGAACAAAAAACAAGAACGUUAACAUGCCAAACCUUGGAAGCGAAACUGACUGUAUCUGACAGUUUUAUACAUUUUAGGGAGAUAGGAGACAUCAAUCAACAUAUGUAAGAUGAACACUGGUUUGAUCCGGUACAACCUGAAGCAAAAGUGUGUCAACUCGAAGCCAGGAGGGGGCUUCCAGGUCACAGAAACGGGGGUCUCCCUCGGUUGCCCAAGCUGGUUUCUGGUGCCCAAGGCGGGGCUCCCCGUAAUGUCUACAAAUAAUCCAGUGAAGGAACACCAGAGCGUGGAAAGCGGAGGACGACUGAAAAAGGACUUCCCAGUAGGUUUUCACUUCAAGCUCUAGGGUAAGUAGGGCGCUCGGAGAAUUCCAGGGAAACCUCCGGAAAAUGUGGGUCAGGCUGAGAGUAAGUUCGCGAAUUACUUAAGCCUUGUACCGCAGUUACUGCGCCGGGGAGGGGUAAUUGUGAGUACCCCGAAUCUCACAUCUUUGUUCCAUCUGGUAGACAAGUAUUCUCCUUGGUUCCCGGAAUAUGGAACCGUCAAUGUAAAAGAUUGGGACAAGGUCGGAUCAGACUUAAAAGGAGCACAAGAGGGCGGCGAUAUUCCCGUCUCUGCUUGGUCUGUAUGGUCGGCAGUUAAAACAGCACUGGAGCCCUUGCACACUGAGGAGGAGGAGGAGGAGUUCCAGGAUGACAUAGGAAGGUUGAAUAAUCAGGAGUCUAAUUAUCAGCUAAGUGAACCAUGACAGUCUCAUUUUAAAAAGGGCGAGAAACGGGAAGGUAUGUAUGCUCAUCUCCAAAAACGUAUAAAAGAAACAGUGCCACCUACUGCGCCUUUAGGGGAAGGUCUGGAAUGGCCGCCCCCAGGCCAGCCUUAGGAAUUUUUGGAAGGGGAGCCUGACAGGCGCCUUGGGGCUCCCAUUGUUGCAGGCCCCGCCGGUAACUAUGGUGAAGGGAAGCUUCAGGUUUGUCCAACAGCCAAUCAUGAUGAGGGAAUGAUCCAGGCUUGCCCAUCUGUUAAUUAUGGUAGAGGAAUGCUGCGAGCCGGUCCAAAUACAAAUGAUGACACAGGGACAAUCCAGGCAUCCAUUCGCCAGGCACAAGAAAUGGGGGAUUUGAAUGCUUGGCAGUUUCUGGCAAUUCUUUUGCCAGCUGAGGAGCCCAGAGAACUUGCUCAAGCAUGCCGGGAGCCAUUUCCUUUUAAAAUAUUAAAAGACUUAAAGCAAGCAAUUGGA